UGUGUAUGUUACUGCAAUACAUAUUUAGAUUUCUUUGCCCAUCCUUUUUGGAUCUACUAGUAGGCCUAGUGAUGUUAGAGGUCUUAACAAGUGGGCUAUGCAUCAGAUUUCAUUUCAAGUGAUGAGUAAAAUAUCCAGAGAUGUAUAUAAUCUGUUCUUUGUGCCCUCUAGCUUAGCACACUGAAUUCUUUGAGCCAUCUGAUGUCAAUCCGUGUGGCAAAAUGAUCAAUGAAAACAAUUUAAGAAAUGCAUCUUAUAGAUGUUUCAUAUUGUAGGUCUACAGCCUAUUGUGUCAUGGUGGUGUUAUCAUUUCAUGUUAUCAUGUUCAUGUUUUGUGCUGUCUUGCUUUGCAGAUGACAGAAUAUUGCUGAAGGAUCCUACAUGGAAGCUGGCUGAUUACACGGAGUGAUUCCUCUGGUGUGGUGUACCUCAGAGAAAUAAACACUGUUGCAACAGCUGAGAAGAUGGCCAAGAUAUCCUUAUUGCUGGAUGGUAGCUCUGGUCGUAGUGGACCAUAUCUGCAAAUGCUUCUGAACAUUGACAGAAUUUCUUAAGAUGACUGAGAAUAUUACUGAAGGAUCCUACAUGGAAGCUGUCUGAUUACACUGAGUGAUUCCUCUGGUGUGGUGUACCUCAGAGAAAAUAAACACUGUUGCAAGGGGUCACUGCUACUGCAGCAGAUGUCGCAAGUCUUUCUCUGCCCAACGCCCCAAGGCUGUUUGCACUUGGUUCAUUCUCAGAAUAAACCCAGAGGGCUCCAAAUGCCAGGCCAAGUCCAUCACCAGCAAGAAGACCGGUAAAAAGGUGCAAAGGAAGAGCAGCAGUGUCAACCCUGUUGUUGCUUCAUUCAUCAGGGAACUUGUUGAUUUUGACUGGCUGAAUUAUUAAUGCUUGACCUUUUGAAGUUCCAAUCACUUGUUUCUUUUAAGUAGUUCAGUCCGAGCAUUGCACCAAAGGCUCGAGGCCCUGUUGUUCUUGCUGUGUUUUCCCCCCUUCUCCCCGUUUCAAAACUUAUUUGGCACAGUUUUUCGAUAUUGUGUCAUGUAUAAGACUUUUAAAAGAGUGACUCUAUUGCGCACCCUAGCACAGAGAUGUUCGGGGCUGGAAUAUAGUUAUAGUUAUAGAAUAUAGUUGAAGCUACGGACUCUGGACCUUCUUUGUGGUAUGUACUUAUCUCAUUAAGAUGAACAAAAAAAAGGUCAAUACGAGCAUAUGGCCACGCCCAACAGGAAAUGAGAUAUUGGACUGUUUUCCAUUUUGCAUACAUUGGAAUUUGAAGCACCCACCACAAACCAUACAACAGUUUUGUCUUGAUUAAUGUUUGGGGUAUCUCAUUUUAAUAGAAUAUAAUCUUUUUAUUUGUCAAUGUGAAUGAAAUAAAAAAAAAAGAAAAAUAUGUAUACAACUGAAGAGUUCAGAUGCAAAACCCCCUAACUCCAUUUCUGAAGACAUGCACUUUUAUAUUUUUAGAGAACCCCAUUGUUGGUUUGGUUUACAUUCAUGUACUUGAUAAUACAUAUGAAUAGUUAUAUUACAUAAAUAAAAUUUUAAAAAUGUGGAAUUUUGAUAGCUUUGUUUUAAAUAAAAAUGAAACAAGAUUAUUUUCUGAAAUGGCACUUAUGGGGUUUUGCAUCUAAACUCUUCAACUAUAUACAAAGGUUAUGGAUUGUGCAUUUGUGAUAAGCAGGACCCCCUUCCUACUGGAGUAUGUUGUUAAAUUGUUAACCAGUUUUAAUUAAACAUUUUGAUUGCAUCUCUUGCAUUUGCAGCAUUUCUUUACCUUGUAACUUUUAAAAACUUUUUAAUGUGUUUUUGAUCUGACUGGUAACUAGAAUAUCUGAAUUAUAGGAGAAUGUGAUGCCUUUGUAGAGCUCCCUGACAUUAUCUUGCGGAAUAUUGUAAAUUAAAAUACAACAAAAAUACUGUAAAACAAACUACAGUAGUUGAAAAAGUUACUGGCAGCUGGAUGCCAUUAAAGUACUGUACUCCUUACAAUAAUUUGUAUCAGUACUGUAAAUCGAUAUACAGUAAUUGGAAUUGGUACUGUAAACUGAUAUACAGUAAUUUGAAUGUUACUGGCAGCUGGAUGCCAGUAAUGUACUGUACUCCUUACAAUAGUUUGGAUUGGUACUGUAAACUGACAUACAGUACUUUGGAUUGGUACUGUAACUGGAUUAACAGUAGUGCUGAUUGGUACUGUAAACCAA
Engraulis encrasicolus (European anchovy) is the source of this 2207-nucleotide long non-coding RNA. RefSeq lists it as uncharacterized. Lineage: Eukaryota; Metazoa; Chordata; Actinopteri; Clupeiformes; Engraulidae. The transcript is spliced from 5 exons. The record is from RefSeq and is a predicted model, not a curated record.